Molecule: non-coding RNA, 26 nt
Filed under: Homo sapiens (human)
Lineage: Eukaryota; Metazoa; Chordata; Mammalia; Primates; Hominidae
Source: RNAcentral
UGAAAGGUGUUAUUGAGUGGUGGAUG